AGAGUUUGAUCAUGGCUCAGAAUGAACGCUGGCGGCGUGCUUAACACAUGCAAGUCGAACGAGAAAGCCUGAUUUCGGUUGGGCGAGUAAAGUGGCGCACGGGUGAGUAACGCGUAGAUGAUCUACCCUUGAGUUUAGGACAACCUUGCGAAAGCGGGGCUAAUACUGAAUACGAUCAUGCUUUAGGGCGUGAUGAAAGUUGGCCGCUCGAAGAAGCCAAUGCUCGAGGCUGAGUCUGCGUCCUAUCAGCUAGUUGGUAGGGUAACGGCCUACCAAGGCUGCGAUGGUUAGCUGGUCUGAGAGGAUGAUCAGCCACACUGGAACUGACACACGGUCCAGACUCCUACGGGAGGCAGCAGUGAGGAAUUUUGCGCAAUGGGGGAAACCCUGACGCAGCAACGCCGCGUGAGUGAUGAAGGCCUUCGGGUCGUAAAGCUCUGUCAAGUGGGAAGAACCUGCCUGAUGAUAAUACCAUCGGGCACCGACGGUACCACUGAAGGAAGCACCGGCUAACUCCGUGCCAGCAGCCGCGGUAAUACGGGGGGUGCAAGCGUUAUUCGGAAUCAUUGGGCGUAAAGGGCGCGUAGGCGGUCUUUUAAGUCAGAUGUGAAAGCCCUCGGCUUAACCGAGGAAGUGCAUUUGAUACUAAGAGACUUGAGUAUGGGAGAGGGAAGCGGAAUUCCUGGUGUAGCGGUGAAAUGCGUAGAUAUCAGGAGGAACACCGGUGGCGAAGGCGGCUUCCUGGACCAAUACUGACGCUGAGGCGCGAAGGCGUGGGGAGCAAACAGGAUUAGAUACCCUGGUAGUCCACGCAGUAAACUGUGAACACUAGGUGUAGCGGGUAUUGACCCCCGCUGUGCCGAAGCUAACGCAUUAAGUGUUCCGCCUGGGAAGUACGGCCGCAAGGUUAAAACUCAAAUGAAUUGACGG
Molecule: ribosomal RNA, 930 nt
Filed under: uncultured bacterium
Lineage: Bacteria
Description: bacterial SSU rRNA
Rfam family: Bacterial small subunit ribosomal RNA
Source: RNAcentral